GCUCUGGCAAACUGGAGAGGAUCACAGUGGUGUGGAGCAUUGGCAACACAGGUCAGAGGCAGUGCCCAACCUCCUGCAAUCAAUGGUGUGUGGUGCAGCCCUCUGUCUUUCUGACAGGAGGUGAUUUGAGGCAGGCCAAGAGGCAGGAACACUGCUUGUGUUUAGGUGAGGGUAGUCAGUAAAUCUCUGGAAGGUGAGUUAAAGCUAACAUCGUGCUCAUGUUAUAGACUAGAGAAAAUCAGAGGGAGGAGAUCUGACUGCGGCUACGGCUGAGGGAAAGUUUAUAGGACAGGCAAUAUAUAUCUCAAGAUCAGGAGUUCCCGGGGGAAGCAGGCUGUGCUUAGGGGCUGAACCCUUGAGGUGAAGUUCAACAGGGGCUUGGGCAGUUUGUUAACAAAGAGAAGUAGAGAGAGUGACCUCUUGCAGCUUUUAAAAUCCCAGGUGGAUAUGUAAACUUCUUUUUCUGCUCUUUCUUCCAUCUGUCUUUGGGCUUCGAAAUGCUUGAUCGGUAUUUAAAUGUGUGUAACUCAACUCUUCCUUUAUUUUUACCUUGGGUUUUUUGUUGCAAGGUGGUGCCAUGGCAACAGACCCACAACUAAGAUGUCCAUGUCUAGAUGUCAAGCAACCCUUACAGAAACAAGUUACUUGACUCUUCCCAUAGCUCUCUAGAGAAACAAAUACCACUUCCUAGGGUGCUGGAGAGAUUUCUUGACAAAGCUUCACAGUGAAAAGCUGAGAAAUGAUAAUUCACAUUUUCCAAGAGAUGAGUGCUCAUUAACGCUCACUGGUGGCUCCUUGGCAUGCAGCGUGGAGGUGGCAAGAGAGCAUGAAGUUUAGCAUGGCCCCGAAAGUAAUUCCUGAAUGAAGUAGAAGGUGUUUAUUUUGGAAAGCUGCACACCUGAAGGUGUGUUUCAGUGAUGCAAGAUGAAAAGAUGAAUUCCUGUGCUUUCUGCGUUCUGCUGUGACUGGAGAUGAUGCUUCUUUUAUAAUGCAUUUAUUGCCACUGCAAGCUUUGGAAAAAAAGUCUUCACGUGUGACAUUUCAUCAACUAAAGAGUGGAGCCAGAGGCCAAAUACAUGGAGACCAAAUACAGGUUAUUCUGUACUGCAUAGAACAACUACAAUCUCCCUCUGGAGCAGGCAUCAGCAUGUCUCUCUCUUCUGCCUGGCUUAUUGCUUGGAGUCUGCAAGGGGCUGCUGCUAUCCCCAGCAGUGCCACUGCAAGUGGCUUGGGCAAUGCUGGGACCCCAGGCAUGGAGGUGCCCUCCCCAGGCAUAGCCAAGACAGUGAGUGUUGCACAGUGUAGAUUAAGGGAUAACACAUACAGUCAGCCAAAACCAGUGUAUAUCAAAUGCUUUCCUAGUCUUAAUAGCUUUUGCUUUUUUUUUUUUUUUUUUUAAAAAAAAAGACUCCUGUAGGACCCAGGCUUUGCUAACUCACAUUUAUAAGUAAACCCUCAUCUUAUUUAGAGGAACACAUUC
This 1480-nucleotide long non-coding RNA is filed under the name Phasianus colchicus (ring-necked pheasant). RNAcentral's name for it is "lncRNA (ENSPCLG00000003035.1)". Lineage: Eukaryota; Metazoa; Chordata; Aves; Galliformes; Phasianidae. The record is from RNAcentral.